ACAGGUGCUGCAUGGCUGUCGUCAGCUCGUGUCGUGAGAUGUUGGGUUAAGUCCCGCAACGAGCGCAACCCUUGCCUUUAGUUGCCAGCAGUUCGGCUGGGCACUCUAAAGGGACUGCCGGUGUUAAACCGGAGGAAGUGGGGAUGACGUCAAGUCCUCAUGGCCUUUAUGACCAGGGCUACACACGUACUACAAUGGCCGAUACAAAGGGCAGCGACACUGCGAGGUGAAGCCAAUCCCGUAAAAAUCGGUCUCAGUCCGGAUUGGAGUCUGCAACUCGACUCCAUGAAGUUGGAAUCGCUAGUAAUCGUGGAUCAGCAUGCCACGGUGAAUACGUUCCCGGGCCUU
This 348-nucleotide ribosomal RNA is filed under the name uncultured Desulfobulbus sp. RNAcentral's name for it is "bacterial SSU rRNA". It matches the Rfam family "Bacterial small subunit ribosomal RNA", at positions 1034 to 1382 of the family's 1533-position model. Lineage: Bacteria; Pseudomonadati; Thermodesulfobacteriota; Desulfobulbia; Desulfobulbales; Desulfobulbaceae. The record is from RNAcentral.